Molecule: transfer RNA, 68 nt
Filed under: Aethomys chrysophilus (red rock rat)
Lineage: Eukaryota; Metazoa; Chordata; Mammalia; Rodentia; Muridae
Description: tRNA-Asp
Source: RNAcentral
GAGAUAUUAGUAAAACAAUUACAUAACCUUGUCAAGGUUAAAUUAUAGACUAAACCCUAUAUAUCUUA